AAACAACAUCUCUCCCCCCUAUUGGAACAAAGCAGGUGUUUCACUCCCUUGUAUCAGCAAAGUGUAAAAAAAAAUAAAAUAAAAAAAUAACAUUUUGUAAUGAUAAAAAGAGCAGUUUGACGCAUUGUAAAAGUUGCAGAAAUAUUUUUAGCUUUUUUUGUACUAUCGUUACUUUGAGGCAAAGUUCUAAAAGUGUAGCAACCAACAAGUUUGAAUGGUGACUACUUCAUGUUUAAAC
Molecule: non-coding RNA, 238 nt
Organism: Pelobates cultripes (western spadefoot toad)
Lineage: Eukaryota; Metazoa; Chordata; Amphibia; Anura; Pelobatidae
Source: the annotation of a GenBank genome assembly